This 1693-nucleotide unclassified non-coding RNA is filed under the name Hevea brasiliensis (rubber tree). The record is from RNAcentral. Lineage: Eukaryota; Viridiplantae; Streptophyta; Magnoliopsida; Malpighiales; Euphorbiaceae.
UUUUUUUUUUUUUUUUCACUUUUUGAUAAAGCAUUUUUAUCUUUUCGUCAGAGAGCAUAGUUGUGUGCAGGAGAUCUGCAAUCAGGCUUGAAAUUAUUGGCUGUAAUAAUUUGAGAUAAUGGAUAUUUGAAUUAUUUAAUCAUUCAAUUUAAUACAAAAUAAAGAGCAUUGAGCAACAUCCAGUUUCAGAUAAGUCAGAACUGGCCCAUAAUUUCACAUUUAUUUUGGUUGUUGCAAAUGUCUAAGUGAUACGCUUAGAAUUAAAGAGCAUUAGCAUUGCCAGGGAUUUUGGGUUGUUGGAAGGAUGUGCCUGUGCUUGCUCUGUAGGCUAUUAGAAAGCUAAACUCCUUGUGACACAAGCUUCUUAUGUAACCUUUCUCAUACAAGUGACUUGAUGUCGUCAGACGUGUUUUGUGCAUCUGCACUAGCUCCAUACAAUCCUCUCCUUGACAAUCCAAUACAGUAUAAACCCUUCUUUCCCUUCCAGUGGUUUGGGUACUGUGGCUUCGGAAUUCCAUCCUCAUUGAAAAGGUAAUCAUCUCCCUUCAGCCAUUUAUUUGUUGAUCUUUUGAAUCCAGUACAAAAAAUGAUUGCGUCAAACGAGUGUGACCUGCCAUUCUCAAAGAGUACCUCAUUUCCUCUUAUAUUUUGUAUUGCAGGCAAGACUUGAAUCUCUCCGGCCUUGAUCUUAUCGAAGGUACCCACAUCAAAAAUAGGAUACUUGCCGUAAGCAACUUUCAUGAAGAAGGGACCCUCUGUAGCCCUUCUCAUCCCAUAAUUGGUCAAGUCUCCGUAUACAAACUUGCUAAACAACACCAUCAGUGAGUCCACAAUUCCCAAUGAAAAAUACUUCAACAUAACCAAGCCCAAGUGCACCAUCUCCCUAGAUAGAAUGUGAACCGGGCUUCGAACAACAAUGGAUGUUCUGGCACCAUGGUUUGCCAGGUCUAGAGCAAUCUCCAUACCAGAAUUACCAGACCCAACAACCAAAACAUUCUUGUCUCUAUAAGCCUUGCCAUUUCCGAACUGAGUAGAGUGCAGAACAUCACCUGUGAAACUAUUCAAUCCUUCAACCUCAGGUAUGAAAGGAUUGCAAGCUUCUCCACUUGCCACCACCAAAAACCUAGCAGAGUAUUCCUCAGUCUCGCUGGAACUCACAUUCCUGACCAUAACCUUCCAUUUCUUGGUGGCUUCAUCGUAGCUGGCCGACUCCACACAUCUUUGGUAGAUAGGAGAAAUCUUGAAAUGAGAAACGUAGUGAUCUAGAUAUUUGAUGAAAUGAUCUUUAGGGAUAUAAGUGGGAGAGGAGGCAGGGAAAGGCAUGUGAGGGAGCUCGCAGAAUUGCUUUUUUAAGUGAAGGUGCAGACGAUCAUAUGAAUAUUUCUUCCAAAGAGAAGCGAAACAAUCUUCCCUUUCCAGGAUGAUGUGAGGGAUUGAAUGCUGGUUUAGGCAUGCCGAAGUGGCUAGACCGGAGGGGCCAGCUCCUACUAUGAUUGCUACUGGAUCUUGCAUUUUCUUGGGUGAUUUGGAGUAUGCCUUCUUUCGGUUUGGAUUUGCAAGUGCAAGAGGAGACCUAAUGGAGUUGGCCUAAUUUAUAAGCUUACUCCUUACUUCCUGGGAGGACUUCGUACGCCAUUUCAACCAAACAAGGACGUAGUGGUUGAAGAACCAAAGAUGUGCAUUUGAUUUGAGU